RNAcentral lists this ribosomal RNA (581 nucleotides) under uncultured bacterium. RNAcentral describes it as "bacterial SSU rRNA". It matches the Rfam family "Bacterial small subunit ribosomal RNA", at positions 338 to 916 of the family's 1533-position model. The record is from RNAcentral.
CCUACGGGAGGCAGCAGUAAGGAAUAUUGGUCAAUGGGCGCAAGCCUGAACCAGCCAUGCCGCGUGCAGGAAGACGGCCCUAUGGGUUGUAAACUGCUUUUGAACAAGAGAAAACCUCGGUACGUGUACCGAGCUGAUAGUAUUGUUAGAAUAAGCAUCGGCUAACUUCGUGCCAGCAGCCGCGGUAAGACGAAGGAUGCAAGCGUUAUCCGGAUUCAUUGGGUUUAAAGGGUGCGUAGGCGGACCGAUAAGUCAGUGGUGAAAUCUCUCAGCUUAACUGAGAAACUGCCAUUGAUACUGUCAGUCUAGAGUACAGAUGAUGUGGGCGGAAUAUGACAUGUAGUGGUGAAAUACUUAGAUAUGUCAUAGAACACCGAUUGCGAAGGCAGCUCACAAAACUGUAACUGACGCUGAGGCACGAAAGUGCGGGGAUCAAACAGGAUUAGAUACCCUGGUAGUCCGCACCGUAAACGAUGAUUACUCGUUGUUGGCAAUAUGACCGUCAGCGACCAAGCGAAAGCGANAAGUAAUCCACCCUGGGGAGUACGCCGGCAACGGUGAAACGUCAAAUGAAUUGACGG